UGGUUUAGCUAACCAUACAAAUCCAAAGAAAAGAAUUAGUAGGAGAGUUUCAGUCUUAUCUGUUAAACCCACCUCCUAUUAUUAGGACUCCUCUCUUUCCACAAAGACAGUGCAGAGGAGCAAUGGUGAGCAGAGGACCGUCGCCUUUAGUGCCGUCGCUAAUGGUGGGUGCAUUAGGAUUGGUUAUACUUGGUCCUACCUUGCUCACUUUGAUGGAAUAUGUGCUGCCCUUGUUUGAAGCAAGUGAAGAAGGAAGUCCCUUGAUCCUGCUUUAGUUCGGGUUCGGGUUACGAUGAUGGACUUGGACUAGGAUCAGUUCUUCUAUUUCUGCUCUUUCUGUUUCUGUAUAAUGUUUUGUGAGUUUGUUCAAACACCCAAAAUUACUAGCUAUAUGACGACAGAAGCAAAAAUAUCCAGUUCA
This is a long non-coding RNA of Tripterygium wilfordii, 421 nucleotides long. RefSeq lists it as uncharacterized. The transcript has 2 exons. Lineage: Eukaryota; Viridiplantae; Streptophyta; Magnoliopsida; Celastrales; Celastraceae. The record is from RefSeq and is a predicted model, not a curated record.